CCUACGGGGGGCAGCAGUGAGGAAUAUUGGUCAAUGGGCGGAAGCCUGAACCAGCCAAGUAGCGUGCAGGAUGACGGCCCUACGGGUUGUAAACUGCUUUUAUACGGGAAUAACGCGCCUUACGUGUAGGGCUUUGCAUGUACCGUAUGAAUAAGGACCGGCUAAUUCCGUGCCAGCAGCCGGGGUAAUACGGAAGGUCCGGGCGUUAUCCGGAUUUAUGGGGUUUAAAGGGAGCGUAGGCGACAGUGCAAGCGUGCAGUGAAAUGUCCGGGCUCAACCCGGGCCUUGCAGCGGAAACUGGCGUGCUUGAGUGCGCGGAAGGCAUGAGGAAUGCGUGGUGUAGCGGUGAAAUGCAUAGAUAUGACGAAGAACCCCGAUUGCGAAGGCAGCUUACGGCAGCGGAACUGACGCUGAGGCUCGAAAGCGCGGGUAUCGAACAGGAUUAGAUACCCGAGUAGUC
This 460-nucleotide ribosomal RNA is filed under the name uncultured bacterium. RNAcentral describes it as "partial 16S ribosomal RNA". It matches the Rfam family "Bacterial small subunit ribosomal RNA", at positions 338 to 795 of the family's 1533-position model. The record is from RNAcentral.